GGAUGUGAGGGUGAUCUGGCUGCAACAUCUGUCACAUCAUUGAUCGCCAUAGUUGAUUUGGCUGAUCUGGCUGGCUAGGCAGGUGUCCCCUUCCUCCCUCACUGCUCCAUAUGCGUCCUUCCCAAAGCUGUGUGCUCCAUUGAAGAGGACAACCAUCUCCGACAGAGGGACAGAGAAGGACCGGUCUUCGGUCAAGGAUAUACAAGUAACUGUGCUCCCUUGCUAGAACCUCCAAACAAGCUUUCAAAUACCUAUGUGGGUCGUGGAUCGCUUGUAGCUAAGAUUUCAGAGGUCCGUGGUGGGAGUGUGUUGCCCUGCAGUUCUU
RNAcentral lists this small nuclear RNA (325 nucleotides) under Cebus imitator (Panamanian white-faced capuchin). RNAcentral describes it as "7SK RNA (ENSCCAG00000004176.1)". It matches the Rfam family "7SK RNA". Rfam says of the family: 7SK was discovered as an abundant small nuclear RNA in the mid-70s but a possible function has only recently been suggested. Two independent studies have found that 7SK RNA binds the CDK9/cyclin T complex (known as elongation factor P-TEFb). P-TEFb activates transcription by phosphorylating the C-terminal domain of RNA polymerase II. Lineage: Eukaryota; Metazoa; Chordata; Mammalia; Primates; Cebidae. The record is from Rfam by way of RNAcentral.